UGGGGAAUAUUGGACAAUGGGGGCAACCCUGAUCCAGCCAUGCCGCGUGAGUGAUGAAGGCCUUCGGGUUGUAAAGCUCUUUUGGCGGGGACGAUGAUGACGGUACCCGCAGAAUAAGCCCCGGCUAACUUCGUGCCAGCAGCCGCGGUAAGACGAAGGGGGCUAGCGUUGUUCGGAAUUACUGGGCGUAAAGCGAGUGUAGGCGGUUGCCGUAGUCAGGGUGUGAAAGCCUUGAGCUCAACUCAAGAAAUGCACUUGAUACUGGGUGACUAGAGGACCGGGAGAGGAUAGUGGAAUUCCCAGUGUAGUGGUGAAAUACGUAGAGAUUGGGAAGAACACCAGUGGCGAAGGCGGCUAUCUGGACGGUUACUGACGCUAAGACUCGAAAGCGUGGGGAGCAAACAGGAUUAGAUACCCUGGUAGUCCACGCCGUAAACGAUGGGUGCUAGACGUUGGCNAGCUUGCUCGUCAGUGUCGCAGCUAACGCGUUAAGCACCCCGCCUGGGGAGUACGGCCGCAAGGUUGAAANUCAAAAGGAAUUGACGGGGUCAUAGCUGUUUCCU
RNAcentral lists this ribosomal RNA (563 nucleotides) under uncultured bacterium. Its description in RNAcentral is "partial 16S ribosomal RNA". It matches the Rfam family "Bacterial small subunit ribosomal RNA", at positions 355 to 1375 of the family's 1533-position model. The record is from RNAcentral.